Molecule: ribosomal RNA, 95 nt
Filed under: Acanthosepion pharaonis
Lineage: Eukaryota; Metazoa; Mollusca; Cephalopoda; Sepiida; Sepiidae
Source: RNAcentral
ACAACACCGCUUCCCGUACGAUCACCGAAGUUAAGCAACGUCGAGCCUGGUCACUACCUAGAUGGAUAUCCGCUUGGGAAUAUCAGGUACUGUAA